Molecule: ribosomal RNA, 339 nt
Filed under: Ruminococcus flavefaciens
Lineage: Bacteria; Bacillati; Bacillota; Clostridia; Eubacteriales; Oscillospiraceae
Description: partial 16S ribosomal RNA
Source: RNAcentral
GGAGUCUGGGCCGUGUCUCAGUCCCAGUGUGGCCGAUCACCCUCUCAGGUCGGCUAUGUAUCGUCGCCUUGGUGAGCCGUUACCUCACCAUCUAGCUAAUCAGACGCGAGCCCAUCUCAGAGUGAUAAAUCUUUGAUACAAAGAUCAUGCGGUCUCUGUAUGUCAUGAGGUAUUACCAUCCGUUUCCAGAAGCUAUCCCUCUCUCUAAGGUAGGUUGCUCACGUGUUACUCACCCGUCCGCCACUAAGUUAUUCUAAGUAAACUCAAAAUAACUCCGUUCGACUUGCAUGUGUUAAGCGUGCCGCCAGCGUUGUCCUCGUAGCCACUGAUCAAACUACU